GCCCUCGUAGCUCAGGGGAUAGAGCACCGCUCUCCUAAAGCGGGUGUCGAUGGUUCGAAUCCAUUCGGGGGCACGA
This 76-nucleotide transfer RNA is filed under the name Actinomyces urogenitalis. Its description in RNAcentral is "tRNA-Arg". It matches the Rfam family "tRNA". From Rfam's summary of the family: Transfer RNA (tRNA) molecules are approximately 80 nucleotides in length. Their secondary structure includes four short double-helical elements and three loops (D, anti-codon, and T loops). Further hydrogen bonds mediate the characteristic L-shaped molecular structure. tRNAs have two regions of fundamental functional importance: the anti-codon, which is responsible for specific mRNA codon recognition, and the 3' end, to which the tRNAs corresponding amino acid is attached (by aminoacyl-tRNA synthetases). tRNAs cope with the degeneracy of the genetic code in two manners: having more than one tRNA (with a specific anti-codon) for a particular amino acid; and 'wobble' base-pairing, i.e. permitting non-standard base-pairing at the 3rd anti-codon position. Lineage: Bacteria; Bacillati; Actinomycetota; Actinomycetes; Actinomycetales; Actinomycetaceae. The record is from RNAcentral. RNAcentral also lists the same sequence under 2 other names.